UGGCGCACGGGUGAGUAACACGUGAGUAACCUGCCCCCGAGAGCGGGAUAGCCCUGGGAAACUGGGAUUAAUACCGCAUAGUAUCGAAAGAUUAAAGCAGCAAUGCGCUUGGGGAUGGGCUCGCAGCCUAUUAGUUAGUUGGUGAGGUAACGGCUCACCAAGGCGAUGACGGGUAGCCGGUCUGAGAGGAUGUCCGGCCACACUGGAACUGAGACACGGUCCAGACACCUACGGGAGGCAGCAG
This 244-nucleotide ribosomal RNA is filed under the name uncultured bacterium. Its description in RNAcentral is "partial 16S ribosomal RNA". It matches the Rfam family "Bacterial small subunit ribosomal RNA", at positions 96 to 354 of the family's 1533-position model. The record is from RNAcentral.